UCAAAGACUAAACUGUUAAGUUGUAAAAAGAAGUAAAUAAAGAAAAACCGAAAAUUUCGGUUUUAUCCCACCGCCUCCCACGCACUCUCUGUUUCUUCGAGAAACAGAGAGGAGCGGUGGGGCAUGAGGAGUGAAGAAAAGAAGAAGAAGAGGGAAAAGAAGAGAGGAGGAAGGAGAGAGGAAGAAGAGGGAGAAGAGAAGAAGAAGAAGAAGAGGAGGUGGCUGCAGCGAGGAGCUGUGGGGCGUGGGGAGAAGAAGAGAGGAAGAAGAGGGAGAAGAGAAGAAGAAGAAGAAGAAGAAGAAGAAGAAGAAGAAGAAGAAGAAGAAGAAGAAGAAGAAGAAGAAGAAGAAGAGAGGAGAAUAGCUGCGGCAAGGCUGCAGCGAGGAGGUGUGUGGCUUUGGGGAGGAAAAGGGAAGAGGAGAAGAAGAGAAGGAGAAGAAGAGGGAAAAGAGAGGCAGCUGCAGUAGCCAGGGCUGCAGCACCUCUGUUUCCCGCAGGUGGAAAUAGAGGAGAGGAUGUGUGGGGCGUUGAGGAUGAAAAGGGAAGAAGAAGAAGAGGAAGAGAAAGAGGUGUGAUACCUCUGUUUCCUGCAGAGGAAACAGAGGAGAGGGUGUGUGUGACGCCGGGGAAGAAGGGGCUGCAGCUGCGGCGAUGGCAGCUGCAGCUGGAAGAGAAGAAGAAGAGGAAGAUGAGCAGGGGAGGAGGGAGAGGUUGCGGCCGUGGCUGCGGCCGCGACUGCAGCAGUUGCAGCGGGGAGAGAAGAAGAAGAAAGGAAGGAGAAGGAAGAGGAGAAGGGAAAGAAGUAGCUGCGGCUGCGGUUGUAGCAGCUGCAGCUAUGGCAGGGAAAGAGGAAGAGAAAAAGGAAAGGAAGAAGAAGAGAAAGGGAAGGAGAGGAAGAAGAGAGGAAGAGGAGAAGGGGCUGCGGCUGCGGUGAUGGCAGCUGCAGCUGUGGCUGGGAAAGAAGAGAAGGAAAGGAAGAAGAAGAGAAAGGGAAGGAGAGGAAGAAGAGAGGAAGAGGAGAAGGGGUGGCAGCUGCGGCAGUGGCAGCUGCAGUUGGAAGAGAAGUAGGAGAGGAAAUAGAGUAGCAGAGGAAGAAGAGGCUGCGGUUGUGGUGGCUGCGGCCAUGGCUGCGACUGCGACUGCGGCAGUUGCAGCUGGGAAAGAAAGGAAAGGAAAGGGGGAAAAAGGGGCUGCGGACGGGAUUGCGGUCGCAGCGGCAGCGACUGCGUAUGCAGCAGUUAUGUCUGCGAGAGAAGGGAGGAAGGAAGGUAGUGCGGUGGAAGGGGCUGCGAUUGUGGCAGCGGCAGCGGCGGCGGUUGUGGCAGCUGCGUUUGGGAAAGAAAAAGAAGGAAUGAGAGUAAGAGAGAGUAUGUGACUAUGCCUUGAUGUUCGACACGUGGUGUAGUUGCGAAGAAAGGAAGAAAACGGGAGCACAAAACGAAACAGAGAGAGGACACGGAGAAAAAGUAGAAGGAUUUGGGCUGGCACCUUCUUUGGAUCUUCGGAUCGAAAUCAUUGAAAGGUCAGCUUGUCACUCUUCGAGAUGUUUGAUUUGGGCUGAGGCAGUGGAUAGCUAUUCAGAAUUAUGGGCAAGUCCUAUUGGUUGUUAUGCUAUUGUUGUAUAAGCAUAUUUUGUAUGUAAUGAAUUGUUCUGAUGAUCGAAAUGGAUAUACUGUGUAAAAGUGUUAGAAGAUCUCUCUUAUUUGGAAUUUCGGAAUGUUAAGUCUAAUUUAUGACGAUAUGAACUUGUGGUGAAUAGUUGGAGUUCUGAUUGUAUAAUUUAUUUAGCUUGUGGAUUUAUAAAUGUUGUUCAUGUUUGUCAA
Musa acuminata AAA Group (dessert banana) is the source of this 1824-nucleotide long non-coding RNA. RefSeq lists it as uncharacterized. Lineage: Eukaryota; Viridiplantae; Streptophyta; Magnoliopsida; Zingiberales; Musaceae. The transcript is spliced from 2 exons. The record is from RefSeq and is a predicted model, not a curated record.